This is a small nucleolar RNA of Melanotaenia boesemani (Boeseman's rainbowfish), 80 nucleotides long. RefSeq annotates it as small nucleolar RNA MBII-202. The record is from RefSeq and is a predicted model, not a curated record. Lineage: Eukaryota; Metazoa; Chordata; Actinopteri; Atheriniformes; Melanotaeniidae. The transcript has a single exon.
UGAUGACAAAUCUCCGGAAUCGCUGGAUGUGCAUGAUGAAAAAUUUGAACCCUUUUUCUGAUGACUGCUGUUAAAAAAAC